GCUCUGUGAGGUCUCUCAGCCUGCAUGUGCCUCCAUUUUGAGUACUUAGAGUAGAAAAGGGCAGAGUUUUAGCAGUAAGUAGAGGUGAGGAAUCCAGCUAGACUCACGAGAGCCUCUGUUAGUCAUGGAUGACCCAUUCAGCCCCUGCAGGAGGCUGAAUAGUACCCAAGGAGAAAUUCGAGUUGGCCCUAGCCAUCAGGCCAAACUUCCAGAUUUGCAGCCAUUUCCUUCUCCAGAUGGUGACACUGUGACUCAGCAUGAGGAACUUGUCUGGAUGCCUGGAGUCAGUGACUGUGACCUCCUCAUGUACUUGAGGGCAGCAAGG
This 325-nucleotide long non-coding RNA is filed under the name Rattus norvegicus (Norway rat). RNAcentral describes it as "long non-coding RNA NONRATT022878". The record is from RNAcentral. Lineage: Eukaryota; Metazoa; Chordata; Mammalia; Rodentia; Muridae.